Molecule: RNA transcript, 794 nt
Organism: Fragaria vesca subsp. vesca
Lineage: Eukaryota; Viridiplantae; Streptophyta; Magnoliopsida; Rosales; Rosaceae
Exons: 9
Source: RefSeq, a predicted model, not a curated record
AGAAGAAAAAAAAAAUUCUGAUCCUUCAAAAAGUUUCACAAUUGCAAAGGGAAAGGCGUACUGAUCUUAUUGAGGUAGCAAAACCGCUUAGGAUCUCGAGACCCUGAAGGUGCAUAUUGAUAAUUUGAAUUUACAGAGUGAAAGGUCUAAAGUUUGGUGGAUGCUAGGUUACAAUUGACAUAUAAAAAGAGGUUGAGUGGGCAUAAAAGUGUUAAACAGAAAUUCUUCAUCUAUUGAUGCCGCAAUGAGCCAUUUAACACAGCAAUGACUCUGCACCAGAAAAUGUACACACUCUUGCUAAUCUUCAAAGUACUAAGACUCAAAGUUGUCAAGACCACAAGUUGCAUGUUCUACUACUUGAAGGAAUGAAAAAAAUAGUUUGAGAAUUCCAGCUCUACUUACAAUCAAACGCCAAAAAGAGGAUGAAGUCAUCCCUAUAAGCGAUGAGAAGGUAUUAGAGUCGCUACUAAACUAUAAACAACCAAAGGCUGCGACACUGCACAUUGGAGAAAUUGAGGUCUCCUUUUAUAUACCCGAAGAUCUAGCACUGCAUGAGUUAGAUCUUGAGAAGAUAUUCAUUGAAGGACAUUACCGUAAUCUUGGAAACAAAACCAAAACGAAUAGUACGGGAUGACAGGAUUCAGGGAAAGAGAGGAAGAGAGAAAAAAAAGGAAGGAAGUGCACAGUCCAUGAUCUCCCGGCUUUAAAAGAACUGCCAGACUUCAGAAGAACUGCCCGGCCACGAUCUCCACAUAGACGGUAACUGCCAUAACAACGUAGGGUAUGAAAUCCUA